UACCUUGACGGUACCUUGCGAGAAAGCCACGGCUAACUACGUGCCAGCAGCCGCGGUAAUACGUAGGUGGCGAGCGUUGUCCGGAAUUAUUGGGCGUAAAGCGCGCGCAGGCGGCCUUUUAAGUCUGAUGUGAAAGCCCCCGGCUCAACCGGGGAGGGUCAUUGGAAACUGGAAGGCUUGAGUACAGAAGAGAAGAGUGGAAUUCCAUGUGUAGCGGUGAAAUGCGUAGAGAUGUGGAGGAACACCAGUGGCGAAGGCGACUCUUUGGUCUGUAACUGACGCUGAGGCGCGAAAGCGUGGGGAGCAAACAGGAUUAGAUACCCUAG
RNAcentral lists this ribosomal RNA (326 nucleotides) under uncultured Exiguobacterium sp. Its description in RNAcentral is "bacterial SSU rRNA". It matches the Rfam family "Bacterial small subunit ribosomal RNA", at positions 465 to 790 of the family's 1533-position model. Lineage: Bacteria; Bacillati; Bacillota; Bacilli; Caryophanales. The record is from RNAcentral.